Molecule: ribosomal RNA, 1283 nt
Filed under: Phoxinus semotilus
Lineage: Eukaryota; Metazoa; Chordata; Actinopteri; Cypriniformes; Leuciscidae
Description: partial 16S ribosomal RNA
Rfam family: Bacterial large subunit ribosomal RNA
Source: RNAcentral
CAUGAUUUAGCCAGUAUCCUCAAGCGGAGAGACCUUUAGUUUGAAACCCCGAAACCAGGUGAGCUACCCCGAGACAGCCUAUAUUAAUUUAGGGCUAACCCGUCUCUGUGGCAAAAGAGUGGGAAGAGCUCCGGGUAGAAGUGAAAGACCUACCGAACCUGGUGAUAGCUGGUUGCCUGAGAAAUGGAUAGAAGUUCAGCCUCGCAAAUCCCAAACCAAAAAUAUCACCAAGAUACUCAGGGAAACAUGCGAGAGUUAGUUAAAAGGGGUACAGCCCUUUUAACAAAGGAUACAACCUUUACAGGAGGAUAAAGAUCAUAAUGUGUAAGAUGUACUGUUCUAGUGGGCCUGAAAGCAGCCACCUAAACAGAAAGCGUUAAAGCUCGGACAGAAAGGAAUUUAUUAUACUGAUAAAAAAUCUUACUCCCCUAACUGUAUCAGACCAACCCAUGCCCACAUGGAAGAGAUUAUGCUAAAAUGAGUAAUAAGAAGACCCGCUCUUCUCCCAGCACAAGUGUAAACCAGAUCGGACCAACCACUGGAACUUAACGAACCCAACCCAAGAGGGCAGUGUGACUAACAGAGACCUCAAGAAGACCUCACAUAAUCAAUCGUUAAUCCCACACUGGAGUGCUAUUCUUAAGGGAAAGACUAAAAGAAAGGGAAGGAACUCGGCAAACACAAGCCUCGCCUGUUUACCAAAAACAUCGCCUCCUGCAAUUAAGCUAAGUAUAGGAGGUCCAGCCUGCCCAGUGACUACGGGUUCAACGGCCGCGGUAUCUUGACCGUGCAAAGGUAGCGCAAUCACUUGUCUCUUAAAUAGAGACCUGUAUGAAUGGCUAGACGAGGGCUUAACUGUCUCCCCCCUCUAGUCAGUGAAAUUGAUCUAUCCGUGCAGAAGCGGGUAUAAAUAUACAAGACGAGAAGACCCUUUGGAGCUUAAGGUACAAAAUUCAACCACGUUAAACAACUCCAUAAGAAGUAAGAACUUAGUGGCAAUGAAAUUUUACCUUCGGUUGGGGCGACCGCGGAGGAAAAGCAAGCCUCCGAGUGGACUGGGCCAAACCCCUAAAGCCAGUAGAGACAUCUAUAAGCCGCAGAAUAUCUGACCAAAAAUGAUCCGGCUAAAAAGCCGAUCAACGGACCAAGUUACCCAAGGGAUAACAGCGCAAUCCCCUCCCAGAGCCCGUAUCUACGAGGGGGUUUACGACCUCGAUGUUGGAUCAGGACAUCCUAAUGGUGCAGCCGCUAUUAAGGGUUCGUUUGUUCAACGAUUAAAGUCC